UACGUAGGGUGCAAGCGUUAAUCGGAAUUACUGGGCGUAAAGCGUGCGCAGGCGGUCUUGUAAGUCUGAUGUGAAAUCCCCGGGCUCAACCUGGGAAUUGCAUUGGAGACUGCAAGGCUAGAAUCUGGCAGAGGGGGGUAGAAUUCCACGUGUAGCAGUGAAAUGCGUAGAGAUGCGGAGGAACACCGAUGGCGAAGGCAGCCCCCUGGGCCAACACUGACGCUCAGGCACGAAAGCGUGGGGAGCAAACAGG
This 253-nucleotide ribosomal RNA is filed under the name uncultured bacterium. Its description in RNAcentral is "partial 16S ribosomal RNA". It matches the Rfam family "Bacterial small subunit ribosomal RNA", at positions 524 to 776 of the family's 1533-position model. The record is from RNAcentral.